This 118-nucleotide ribosomal RNA is filed under the name Oryctolagus cuniculus (rabbit). Lineage: Eukaryota; Metazoa; Chordata; Mammalia; Lagomorpha; Leporidae. The record is from RNAcentral.
GUCUACGACCAUACUACCCUGAACACGCCCGAUCUCGUCUGAUCUCGGAAGCUAAGCAGAGUCGGGCCUGGUUAAUACUUGGAUUGGAAAAGCCAUUGUAAUACAUAAGCUGUACUUU